GAGAGCAAGUGAUGGACGACGAGAGUAUCAACACCUUGAUGUGCGAAGUCGAGUCCAUCGUUAAUGGGCGACCUCUUACUAAAGUGUCGGACGACCCUCACGAUUUAGAAGCGUUAAUCCCCAAUCAUCUGCUGCUGUUAAACCCUGGAUCAUCAUUUCCACCAGGACGAUUCUCGAAGGAAGACAACUGUAGUCGUCGUCGUUGGCGACAAGUCCAGUAUCUUGCCGACGUGUUCUGGCGACGUUGGAUUCGCGAAUACCUUCCAUCAUUACAACCGAGGCAGAAAUGGAACGAAAGGUGUCGGAAUGUUAAAGUCGGAGAUAUCGUGCUCGUCGUGGACGAGAAAACACCACGCAGUUCGUGGCCG
Molecule: non-coding RNA, 368 nt
Organism: Paramuricea clavata
Lineage: Eukaryota; Metazoa; Cnidaria; Anthozoa; Malacalcyonacea; Plexauridae
Source: the annotation of a GenBank genome assembly